AGCAAAUAUAAAAUAUAAAUGUAUUAUACGAAGCGGUUUGUAUUUGUCUAAACGGAACUACUGAAAACAUUGUAACAUCUCCUAUUAGCGCUUAAUGUUUUUUUUAGGCUGUGAACCAACAGUCUAAAGACUCUAUACAAGAGAAUCCAGUCUAAAAACAAACUCUUGAAUAUCAAUAAGCAAGUUAAAGUGGAAGCUGAACAACUGGAAUAUGAAUAAAUGUUACAACACUGUAGCCUUGUUGUACUUCUAAACUAAAUCUAAAGCCUCACUGUGUUUUUAUCCCCUUUCCUACAGAAACACAACUUUUACUGACACUUUUAUCCAAAGUGACUACCAUUCAAGACAGGAUACAACUGAGCAGGUGUUGCUUAAGGACUUAAACUUGGUGGUGGUGAUGAUAUGUGAGCUCACAAACUUCUAAUCAGUGGUUCAAAGUCUUAACCACUGAGCUACCACGUCUCUAACCCACUACUGGGUGGCUGUGAUAUUGCAGUAAGCAAUUCUUCCUGGACAGCGUCUUAGGACUAGGCGAGGGUAGACGACCACCUUGGGUCCCGAGAAGCCUAGGGCCUAUAUAUUUUUAAUAAUUAAUGCUAAACAAGGUAUGCUGAAGAUUUAAAUAUCAGUGUUAAAACACUAAAACUAUAGCCCCGAUCGUAUAUAUUUUGCCUAGGGCCACCAAAUCACUCAUUUCCCCCCUGUCUGUGUAUGCUGGUGAGGAGGCAGGAAUACACUGUUUAGUGUUUGAAUGUAACCUUCAAACAUUCUUUAUUAAGUGCAGAAUUGUUCAGCAGUGGCCUGUCUCACAGCCAUACCCUCUAAUUCAGGAGUGCCCAGUCUUAUCCGGAAAGGGCCAGUGUGGGUGCAGGAUAAGCAGUGGUACACUGGGUAGUGCUGCCACCUCACAGCCCCAUGGUCCCUGGUUUGACCCUGAGCUGUCUGUGUGGGUCCCAGAAACGUGCUGGUAGGUGACCUGGCUAUGCUAAAGUACCCCUAGGUGUGAAGGAGUGUGUGUGCCUGAUACCCUGUGAUGGACUAGUGUAACCAUGCCUAGUGUUCCUGGGAAACUCUGCCUCCCACUGCCUCCCUGACUAGGAUAAAGCUCUUACUCAUGAAUAAUGAAUGAACAUGAGAAAUAUGAUCACUGUACCGUUUGCACGCGCAUCUUAGCACUCGGUUCCAGUUAGAAACGAAUCCUUGACUGGAUUGUGAAUACAGCUGAAGAGGACGAGAAAAUGAUAGUAAAUAAUAAGUGUACAUCACCUGAGUAUAACUGUCUCGCUGUCCUUCUCUCCAUGUCCUGGAAAGAAACAAUGUCCUUCCUGUCCAGCUACACAGCUCUUCCCCUGCAGUGACUAUCUCAUUUCCUGCCUGCGAUUCACACAUCCUCAUGAUGAGCU
Ictalurus punctatus (channel catfish) is the source of this 1403-nucleotide long non-coding RNA. The record is from Ensembl. NCBI's taxonomy places the organism in Eukaryota, Metazoa, Chordata, Actinopteri, Siluriformes, Ictaluridae.